Molecule: long non-coding RNA, 189 nt
Filed under: Struthio camelus australis
Lineage: Eukaryota; Metazoa; Chordata; Aves; Struthioniformes; Struthionidae
Description: lncRNA (ENSSCUG00000015001.1)
Source: RNAcentral
CUGCCGAUGGUUUCUGCCCUGAGGAGCCUAAGAGUCAGCUAUCACGGCUCUGGGAUAUCUUCAUCACCGGUGCACAAGACAACUUUGAUUGGGAUCACAUGAUGGACAAUAUCUUCUGAACCAAAAGGUCGCAUAAUGCAAGAAACCACCUGUAGCCCAUAAUGGGAAGGACUGGGACACCAGAAUAAG